AGAGAGAGACAUGCGCGCAUAUCAAUAAGCGGAGGAAAAGAGACUAACAAGGAUUCCCCUAGUAACGGCGAGUGAAGCGGGAAGAGCUCAAAUUUGAAAUCUUAAAGGGUUUCCCUUUACGAAUUGUAGUUUAAAGAAGUGUUUUCUGUUGAGGUUUUGGUAAAAGUUCUUUGGAAUAGGACAUCAUAGAGGGUGAGAAUCCCGUAUUUGACCUUUACUUUCAACUUUGUGAUACACUUUCAAAGAGUCGGAUUGUUUGGGAAUGCAGUCCAAAAUGGGUGGUAAAUUUCAUCUAAAGCUAAAUAUUGGCGAGAGACCGAUAGCGAACAAGUACCGUGAGGGAAAGAUGAAAAGAACUUUGAAAAGAGAGUUAAACAGUACGUGAAAUUGUCAAAAGGGAAGCGUUUGACACCAGUGUUGUUUUUCUGAAAAUCAAUUAAAGAACUGUUUAUGCUAAGUUGUUUAGACUUUAUCAGCUAACUGUUUAGUUUUGAGCUUUUCUUUAAUGCACUUUUCAGUUAACAAGUCAACAUCAAUUUCUUUUGCUGUAAAAAAGCUUGAGGAAGGUGGCUUGAGAUUCGUCUUAAGUGUUUAUAGCCUCUUGCCUAUGCAGUCAGGAGAGAUUGAGGUCUGCAGCGUAGAUCCUUCGGGGCUAAAUGCAUUUGUGCUAAGUUAUAGCAUUUUAUAGACAACUUGUUGACUAUGAUUUGUCUUGUAGCUUACUCGCUUAUGUUAUUUUACCUACGCUUAGGAUGUUGAGCGCAUGUCUCUCUCU
This 775-nucleotide ribosomal RNA is filed under the name uncultured Neocallimastigales. Its description in RNAcentral is "partial large subunit ribosomal RNA". It matches the Rfam family "Eukaryotic large subunit ribosomal RNA", at positions 23 to 616 of the family's 3401-position model. Lineage: Eukaryota; Fungi; Neocallimastigomycota; Neocallimastigomycetes; Neocallimastigales. The record is from RNAcentral.